UCCUUAGUACGAGAGGACCGGGAUGGACGGACCGCUGGUGGACCGGUUGGCUUGCCAAAGCCAUGGCCGGGUAGCCAAGUCCGGAAGGGAUAAACGCUGAAGGCAUCUAAGCGUGAAGCCCCCCUCAAGAUGAGAUAUCCCAUUCUUAGUGAAGUAAACCCCCUUGAAGACGACGAGGUAGAUAGGGCAGAGGUGGAAGUGUGGCAACACAUGGAGCUGACUGUUACUAAUCGGGUGAGGGCUUGACCA
RNAcentral lists this ribosomal RNA (249 nucleotides) under Blautia sp. SF-50. RNAcentral describes it as "23S rRNA. Bacterial LSU". It matches the Rfam family "Bacterial large subunit ribosomal RNA", at positions 2675 to 2925 of the family's 2925-position model. The record is from RNAcentral. Lineage: Bacteria; Bacillati; Bacillota; Clostridia; Lachnospirales; Lachnospiraceae.